UGUUAAGCCCCAGACUUCUGUGUGUCUCC
Molecule: non-coding RNA, 29 nt
Filed under: Rattus norvegicus (Norway rat)
Lineage: Eukaryota; Metazoa; Chordata; Mammalia; Rodentia; Muridae
Source: RNAcentral